GUCGAACGGUAACAGGGAGCUUGCUCCGCUGACGAGUGGCGAACGGGUGAGUAAUGUAUCGGAACGUACCAUUGAGUGGGGGAUAACGUAGCGAAAGUUACGCUAAUACCGCAUAUUCUCUCCGGAGGAAAGCAGGGGACCGCAAGGCCUUGCGCUCUUUGAGCGGCCGAUAUCAGAUUAGCUAGUUGGUGGGGUAAAAGCUCACCAAGGCGACGAUCUGUAGCGGGUCUGAGAGGAUGAUCCGCCACACUGGAACUGAGACACGGUCCAGACUCCUACGGGAGGCAGCAGUGGGGAAUUUUGGACAAUGGGGGCAACCCUGAUCCAGCCAUGCCGCGUGAGUGAAGAAGGCCUUCGGGUUGUAAAGCUCUUUCGGCCGGGAAGAAAUCGUAUCAGCUAAUACCUGGUGCGGAUGACGGUACCGGCAUAAGAAGCACCGGCUAACUACGUGCCAGCAGCCGCGGUAAUACGUAGGGUGCGAGCGUUAAUCGGAAUUACUGGGCGUAAAGCGUGCGCAGGCGGUUUUGUAAGACAGGCGUGAAAUCCCCGGGCUCAACCUGGGAACUGCGUUUGUGACUGCAAGGCUAGAGUACGGCAGAGGGGGGUGGAAUUCCACGUGUAGCAGUGAAAUGCGUAGAGAUGUGGAGGAACACCAAUGGCGAAGGCAGCCCCCUGGGUCGAUACUGACGCUCAUGCGCGAAAGCGUGGGUAGCAAACAGGAUUAGAUACCCUGGUAGUCCACGCCCUAA
RNAcentral lists this ribosomal RNA (749 nucleotides) under uncultured bacterium. RNAcentral describes it as "bacterial SSU rRNA". It matches the Rfam family "Bacterial small subunit ribosomal RNA", at positions 61 to 805 of the family's 1533-position model. The record is from RNAcentral.